This 826-nucleotide ribosomal RNA is filed under the name Flavobacteriaceae bacterium. RNAcentral describes it as "bacterial SSU rRNA". It matches the Rfam family "Bacterial small subunit ribosomal RNA", at positions 56 to 883 of the family's 1533-position model. Lineage: Bacteria; Pseudomonadati; Bacteroidota; Flavobacteriia; Flavobacteriales; Flavobacteriaceae. The record is from RNAcentral.
UGCAGUCGAGGGGUAACAGAGUAGCUUGCUAUUGCUGACGACCGGCGCACGGGUGCGUAACGCGUAUACAAUCUGCCUUGUACUGAGGGAUAGCCUUUGGAAACGAAGAUUAAUACCUCAUAGUAUUGCGACAUCGCAUGGUGAUGCAAUUAAAGGUUACGGUACAAGAUGAGUAUGCGUCCUAUUAGCUAGAUGGAGUGGUAACGGCACCCCAUGGCAACGAUAGGUAGGGGCCCUGAGAGGGGGAUCCCCCACACUGGUACUGAGACACGGACCAGACUCCUACGGGAGGCAGCAGUGAGGAAUAUUGGACAAUGGAGGCAACUCUGAUCCAGCCAUGCCGCGUGCAGGAAGACUGCCCUAUGGGUUGUAAACUGCUUUUAUACAGGAAGAAACAGAACUACGUGUAGUUCCUUGACGGUACUGUAAGAAUAAGGAUCGGCUAACUCCGUGCCAGCAGCCGCGGUAAUACGGAGGAUCCAAGCGUUAUCCGGAAUCAUUGGGUUUAAAGGGUCCGUAGGUGGAUAAUUAAGUCAGAGGUGAAAUCCUGCAGCUCAACUGUAGAAUUGCCUUUGAUACUGGUUAUCUUGAGUUAUUAUGAAGUAGUUAGAAUAUGUAGUGUAGCGGUGAAAUGCAUAGAUAUUACAUAGAAUACCAAUUGCGAAGGCAGAUUACUAAUAAUAUACUGACACUGAUGGACGAAAGCGUGGGGAGCGAACAGGAUUAGAUACCCUGGUAGUCCACGCCGUACACGAUGGUCACUAGCUGUUCGGACUUCGGUCUGAGUGGCUAAGCGAAAGUGAUAAGUGACCCACCUGGGGAGUAC